Molecule: ribosomal RNA, 487 nt
Filed under: uncultured bacterium
Lineage: Bacteria
Description: bacterial SSU rRNA
Rfam family: Bacterial small subunit ribosomal RNA
Source: RNAcentral
GAUAAACGCUAGCGGCAGGCCUAACACAUGCAAGUCGAGGGGCAUCGCGGUGCAGCAAUGCACUGGGCGGCGACCGGCGUACGGGUGCGUAACGCGUAUGCAACCUGCCCCGCACCGGGGGAUAGCCCGCCGAAAGGCGGAUUAAUACCCCAUGGUCCCGGGGGCCCGCAUGGGCAUCCGGGUAAAGCCUUGGCGGUGCGGGAUGGGCAUGCGUGCCAUUAGCUGGCUGGUGGGGUAACGGCCCACCAGGGCAACGAUGGCUAGGGGGUCUGAGAGGAUGGUCCCCCACACUGGUACUGAGACACGGACCAGACUCCUACGGGAGGCAGCAGUGAGGAAUAUUGGUCAAUGGGCGGAAGCCUGAACCAGCCAUGCCGCGUGCGGGAUGAAGGCCCUACGGGUUGUAAACCGCUUUUCCCCGGGAAGAAUAACCCCGAUGAGUCGGGUGAUGCCGGUACCGGGGGAAUAAGGAUCGGCUAACUCCGUG